RNAcentral lists this long non-coding RNA (1005 nucleotides) under Cyanistes caeruleus (blue tit). RNAcentral describes it as "lncRNA (ENSCCEG00000010564.1)". The record is from RNAcentral. Lineage: Eukaryota; Metazoa; Chordata; Aves; Passeriformes; Paridae.
AUGUCACCCUCAGAGCCUCUGGGGGUUGCAGGAAAGGAAGAGACAUUUGGCUUCCACUGCAAAAUGAGCUGGGGUAAUAAAGCAGCUUUCAUUCCCUGUGGGUUGAGGGGAGAGCCCUUAAAGCCUGAGCAGAGGAGGGGAUUUGAUGCUCACUUUAGUUUAGCCUGGGGAGCGGCUCGGCCUGGCCUCGGCAGCAUCAGGGAUCCCCCCAGGGGCAGGGAAGGGGCACCGCUUUGUGGGGAGGGCGAGACCCACCUUGCUCCCCCACACCAACCUGUGUCACUGGAGCAGCCCUGGGAUUUCCUUAUUUCUGCAGAGCCUGGGACCCCACAGCCCCCUCUGGAGCCCGGUUCCUCCUGCCCAGGCUGCACGUUUGCCCUUUUGUGGAGCAGCACGGCUGGCAGGUCCCAGUGGAUGCACUUCACCCCACCGGCCCCAGGCAGGAGGCUGCCAGCCCUGGGGAUACCAGCCCUGGCAAGGGCUCUGCCAGAGUCCUCCGAGAGCUGCAGCAAAGGAGAUGUUCCCACCAAAUCAAAAACCCCCAAGAAUCUGCCAACACGCAGGAGAGCAGGUGCUUCUCUGCAGAAGGAGCCUGUCCUGCAAGGCCUUGCUGUGCUCCGGGGGCUGCUACCCUGGCACCCCCUUGGAAGAGGCUCCCAUGGCUGGAGGCAGGAGCUGGGGCUGGACGGCAGCGCAGGGGCAGGAGGAGCGCCGGCGAGAGCAGCCUGCAGUGAGCAUCAAAGGCAAACCCCUCUGCUCGCUCGUGUUCCCGCUGACAGCCAGCGGGUCCUGCUUUGCCUCUCAGCUGUUACCUCUGCCUUUCUUUCGCCUACUUAUCCUGGGGCUCACAGCCAGCCCCCCCGGAGAGCUGGAGCACCUCCCCAGCGCUCCCAAGGCAGGCUGGAAAGGCGGGAGCGUGGCCGGGAGCAGCAGCAUUUCCAGGACGAGCAGGAAUGUGCUCCCAGGAGAGCCGCCCUGGCUUCCUCCCUCAUUCUUUAUUCAUGA